AUACGUAGGUGGCAAGCGUUGUCCGGAUUUACUGGGUGUAAAGGGCGUGUAGGCGGAGAUGCAAGUCAGGAGUGAAAUCUGGGGGCUCAACCCCUAAACUGCUUUUGAAACUGUAUCCCUUGAGUAUCGGAGAGGCAGGCGGAAUUCCUAGUGUAGCGGUGAAAUGCGCAGAUAUUAGGAGGAACACCAGUGGCGAAGGCGGCCUGCUGGACGACAACUGACGCUGAGGCGCGCAAGCGUGGGGAACAAACAGGAUUAGAUACCCUGGUAGUCCACGCUGUAAACGAUGAAUACUAGGUGUGGGGGGACUGACCCCCUCCGUGCCGUAGUUAACACAAUAAGUAUUCCACCUGGGGAGUACGAUCGCAAGAUUGAAACUCAAAGGAAUUGACGGGG
This 396-nucleotide ribosomal RNA is filed under the name uncultured bacterium. RNAcentral describes it as "partial 16S ribosomal RNA". It matches the Rfam family "Bacterial small subunit ribosomal RNA", at positions 523 to 918 of the family's 1533-position model. The record is from RNAcentral.